This is a long non-coding RNA of Oxyura jamaicensis (ruddy duck), 2944 nucleotides long. RefSeq lists it as uncharacterized. NCBI's taxonomy places the organism in Eukaryota, Metazoa, Chordata, Aves, Anseriformes, Anatidae. The transcript has 2 exons. The record is from RefSeq and is a predicted model, not a curated record.
UUUUCUGGGCCUGCCUGUUUGAAGUGCACUAUAAUCACAGUUCUCGCACAUCCUGGACAUGUGUCCAAUGUAUCAUGUGAAAUGGAGUUUAUUGAUGGGUACUGACAUAUUUCACUCUUCAACAUAACUUCAAUAUGCUUGUCAAUUUUUUGCUUCAUGCACACUGGCCUUAAAAAUGCAUUGAAAAUGCAUUUAAAUGAUCUUAAUGAUGCUGUUGGUAAUACCAUGAACCUGUAUUUCCUUCUUUUCUGCACUGGUUGGAUCUGUCCUGCCCAUUGAUGUCUGACUCUUUACAGCUUAUAAAACUAAGGCAUCAAAAAGAUUUAUCCAAAAAGAUUACUCCUUUAAAUGAGCAAGCAACAAAAGUUAAAUCUUGCAAGGAAUGAGACAAGUUUGCUAUUAGUUUCCAUUUUCAAAAAAAAAAAAAAUCAGGGAAAAGAGAUGAGCUGGUUCUGGCAGUCAGUGGUUUAUACUUCUGUCUGACCAGUGCCUCAAGACUAACAGCUCCAUACUGCUCUCACACGGUGGAGAGUAUGCCAUGCUUAGUACUCCUUGUUGCGCUCCAGUCUGCAUCUCUCCAGAAAGUCAGUAAGUCACUUUGGUAGUGCUUUUCUGCUCUGCCACAGCCCAUGGUUGUCAGCAGAGCUUUCUAGUAGAAUGAUAUUCGUCAUUUCUGACAAAUCUGAGAGAAUAUGUGUAGACUUGUUAUUACCGUCCCAUUGCCAGGACAUCACCAAGCUGACAUGAUCUCAUUCCUACAGAAGAACAGAGCCUGCAACCUAAUGUCAAGGAUUAGAGGUAAUUCUGGAAAAAAUCUAUACUGGUACUGCCUUACGAUCUCCAUUUCAUUGUUCAUUCCAACCCUCUCUCCUCAGCCCCAUCCCAUUCCUUCUCCAAAGAAAGCAAGACAUAGAUGGGGAAGAUAGAACAAAAUGAUUGAAAUAGCUUUUUGCAAGGCACCUGAUAACACUUUCUUCAGCUAAACAGAUAAACCUGUCUCUUGAAAUGAGCAUUAAUGAGACACACCGAUAACAGGUGUCCUGCCCUUUCCUUUUGGUUUAAAGUCAGGAGCAGCGUUGCUUUGGCAUGUGGGUAACAGGCCAAAGUAUAUAGUGGAGGAAAUAGUUGGCCUUAGACAAGGCUGCCUGGAGAAUACAGGCAUGCAGGCAGAAGAGGGGAGGUUACCAAUCCCUUAUAAAAACAAGAACAGUGACAUGAACUGCCUUCAGUUCUUGUAAAGAUAAAUAAAAUAGAAGAAAUGCAAAGUGGUGGUGUUCCGACGGUUGCUUCAGUUCCCUGAAAUUCCUAUGGCAGAGCAUUUGGGAGAAAGAGAGACUUGCUAUUAGUCAACUGUAUUGAUUUCUGCCACUAAGGAAAGCGGGAGAAAAAAAAUAUUUACUGUGCUAAACCGCUGGAGCUUUCAACCGGUUCAUAUUGAAAAUUGUCUCCUAUGGACUUCCCUCCGUGGCUUUUCCUCUGCGGAAGGGAAGACUGGAAGAGGCAUCAGCACAAAACAAUGAGAGGCAGUUCCUGUGUGCCCGCCGGCAUCUGCAAGGGAAACGCGCGCUCUGCCGGAGGAGUUGCCUCCUCCUUGCCGUGAGUGACGAGUCAUGAAGCCGUUUUCAGAAUCACAGCAGAUCAAGUAUGGCUGUGAUUAAAAAGUGAUCGCUGUCUAUUUUUAGAUCUGAUUCCUCUAAGUGGCCUUCUCAGUUGCUAUGAAUAGCUGCAGCAUAAUAGUUAAAGUAGACAAAAAAACAGUCCUGUUUCAAGCUGCUUAAUACAUAGGCUGAAUUUCCUAACAAACCAUGUGGUUUUGUGUUUGGGAGAUCCGGAACGAGUGUUGUUUUUAAGUUACUUUUGGUAAUUCUUAUCAGUUUCAAGUGCAAAGGUAUUAUUUAAACGUUUGCUUUUCGUUUCCUUAACAAAAUGUAAGCCAAACCCAAGCUCAUCCAUUUCAACAAACUCUUUAAAGGCUGAUAGGUGGAUAGACUUAUUUUAUAGUGUAGCUCUACACAGAAGAGUGGCUUUGUAAUAGUGGCAACCUCUUCCUUAGCGAGACUGCUACUUGUCUACGUUCAGUCAGAUCUUCGACUUUAUGGCAGAAGUAAGUCUUGACUGCUUUUUACUCCUGUUGGCCCUGUAGAGGCUACAUAGCUAAGCGUCAGGUAUAGCUAAGAGCUAACGAGCUAGAUUUAUUUUUCAGUGUUGAGCAUUACAGCCUCAGCUGAGACUUCAGUAAGGUAUUGAAUACUCCUUACAACAAGGGGUUGGUAAUUUCAAAUCAAUUGCACCUAUACGAGACCAAUGAAAACAGGGCAUGUGGACAGGCAUAGACAAAAGCUUUGUUUAUUUGAUGGGGUGCGGUUUGUUUCUCACAAUAACUGAGAUGGAAAGGACAUAGUUUCAUUGUCAGAGGCCAAGUAGGACCAGGAAUUAGAUUUUUUUCUUGUGAACACCUGGCGUUUGAGAUUAAAACACUGUAAACCUGGGACCCCACAGUACCAUUUCGUAAGUGCUUUUCAGGACAGAAGGCACGAUGUAAGCGCAUUGCUAAACAGGAAGGAAAAGCUCACUGAGAGAUGAAGGAUCUUUAACAAUCAUACCUAGUCAGAAAAUGAUUUAUUCUAUGAGGAAAGAAUGGUGAUUACUAAAGGUUAAUAGGAAUGUGAGUCACCUAAAUUCUGGCAAAUAUGGAAGAUCCAAAAAGAUUCAGAGAGUACAGUAGCCAAGUAGAUAGAAUAAUAAAUAAAAACUUUUUUUUUUUUUUUUUUUUAAUAUGCAAAAAUUGCCAAUUGUAUUUGAAGAUAUAUUUCUUGGUAAACAAGGUUCUCAUGGGUAGGUACAAACCCAAAUAAUUCCAGCAUCCAUAUUGUUCUGUGCUGAAAGAAAAGUAAACAUUACUCCAUAGUUAUCCCUACUCUCAUAUUAAAAAAAAAAAAAAAAU